This 76-nucleotide transfer RNA is filed under the name Rhodospirillales bacterium. RNAcentral's name for it is "tRNA-Val". It matches the Rfam family "tRNA". Rfam says of the family: Transfer RNA (tRNA) molecules are approximately 80 nucleotides in length. Their secondary structure includes four short double-helical elements and three loops (D, anti-codon, and T loops). Lineage: Bacteria; Pseudomonadati; Pseudomonadota; Alphaproteobacteria; Rhodospirillales. The record is from RNAcentral.
GGGCGGUUAGCUCAGUUGGUAGAGCGCCAGUUUUACAUACUGGAAGUCGGCGGUUCGAUCCCGUCACCGCCCACCA